GGGAUUCGAACGGCAGGCGGGAAGUGCUCUAGCAGGGGAGUCUGACCUUGUGAGGGAAUACCUGUGUCCCCCCUUUUUUCCCCUUUUUACCCAAUAAAACCCUGCCUUACUCACCCUUUAAAUCAUCUGCGAGCCUGAAUUUUCAUGGCCGUGGGACGGACAAGAACUUUAUCUUCAGCUGAACUAAGAAAAAGUCCUGCAACAUUUUUGGCGCGCAAUGUGGGGGCACCAGAAGCGGGCACCGUUGAGCUGUUGCAACUGUUCUGCUGGAGCCUUAUGUAUGUGGUUGAAACCACCUGUACUACUGGAAUGAAAGCACCUUUACAGAAGAGGCAAUGCAAGUUGUAUUCAUCACAUGUGUAGAAUGAAUUAAGAUUUAUGCCAGUUGCAAAGAAGAAUAUUGGCUCACUAUUUUUCCUCUGGGCAUACCAUAUGAUGUCCUGAAAAUUCUUCCACAAUAUUUAACCAACACUUUCCAGAAAAACUUCAUUUAUCUCCAUGUACCAAUAUUUUGGGGUCCAGCCCAAUUCCUGUCCCUUCAGUGAAGCCUUAUUUAAUUUUACCAAUAAAUAAUAGCUCUCUUUUUUGAA
Long non-coding RNA from Homo sapiens (human), 590 nucleotides. Ensembl annotates it as MIR924 host gene. Its record names the gene MIR924HG. The record is from Ensembl. Lineage: Eukaryota; Metazoa; Chordata; Mammalia; Primates; Hominidae.